CGUACACUCCUACGGGAGGCAGCAGUGGGGAAUAUUGGACAAUGGGCGCAAGCCUGAUCCAGCCAUGCCGCGUGAGUGAUGAAGGCCCUAGGGUUGUAAAGCUCUUUUGUGCGGGAAGAUAAUGACGGUACCGCAAGAAUAAGCCCCGGCUAACUUCGUGCCAGCAGCCGCGGUAAUACGAAGGGGGCUAGCGUUGCUCGGAAUCACUGGGCGUAAAGGGUGCGUAGGCGGGUCUUUAAGUCAGGGGUGAAAUCCUGGAGCUCAACUCCAGAACUGCCUUUGAUACUGAAGAUCUUGAGUUCGGGAGAGGUGAGUGGAACUGCGAGUGUAGAGGUGAAAUUCGUAGAUAUUCGCAAGAACACCAGUGGCGAAGGCGGCUCACUGGCCCGAUACUGACGCUGAGGCACGAAAGCGUGGGGAGCAAACAGGAUUAGAAACCCCAGUAGUCCC
This 450-nucleotide ribosomal RNA is filed under the name uncultured organism. RNAcentral's name for it is "partial 16S ribosomal RNA". It matches the Rfam family "Bacterial small subunit ribosomal RNA", at positions 330 to 797 of the family's 1533-position model. The record is from RNAcentral.